AGGGAAUCUUCGGCAAUGGACGCAAGUCUGACCGAGCAACGCCGCGUGAGUGAAGAAGGUUUUCGGAUCGUAAAACUCUGUUGUUAGAGAAGGACAAGGAUGAGAGUGGAAAGUUCAUCCCUUGACGGUAUCUAACCAGAAAGCCACGGCUAACUACGUGCCAGCAGCCGCGGUAAUACGUAGGUGGCAAGCGUUGUCCGGAUUUAUUGGGCGUAAAGCGAGCGCAGGCGGUCUUUAAGUCUGAUGUGAAAGCCCCCGGCUUAACCGGGGAGGGUCAUUGGAAACUGGGAGACUUGAGUGCAGAAGAGGAAAGCGGAAUUCCAUGUGUAGCGGUGAAAUGCGUAGAUAUAUGGAGGAACACCAGUGGCGAAGGCGGCUUUCUGGUCUGUAACUGACGCUGAGGCAUGAAAGCGUGGGGAGCAAAC
This 425-nucleotide ribosomal RNA is filed under the name uncultured bacterium. RNAcentral's name for it is "bacterial SSU rRNA". It matches the Rfam family "Bacterial small subunit ribosomal RNA", at positions 356 to 773 of the family's 1533-position model. The record is from RNAcentral.